GUGAGGACAUCGAGGACAACAGCUGGGAUGGCUCCCGCGGCGGGCAGCCCUGCGCCCACCUCAGCCCCGGGCCCCAGGGGCCAAUGCCUGGGGAACACUGCCUGUCCGUGUGUCCGGGACACACACACGGAGCUCCCCGGAGUCAGGGCGAGGCUGGCGGCUCCGCUGCGCAGGGCCUCGGCCAGCAGAGAGGGGCUGGCCGGGUGGCAGCCGCGACUGUGCCAGGGCACAGAGGGGUCCCGGCCCUCACCCUCAGCCUCGCCCUACGGGGAGAGCAGAGUGGCAGGGCAAGCGCGGUGCCCCAGGGCCAGCUCCUGGUGUCUCGCUCUGGGCCGAUUCGCGCCUCCCUGCUUCCCCUCAGCUCCAACUAAGAAAAAGGGACGGGAGAAGGACCAAGACCUUGGAGCAACCUGGAUGCUGAUUUCACCCCAGCACCUCGUGUGCAUCUGGCCAGCCGCCCUCGGUGACUCCCAGCCCCCCACCCUCGCUCCCGGCCUGGAAAUACCCGAGCAUCUGCCGAAGCAGCUGCAGCUUUCCGUGGCUGCGGCAACAUCCUGAGAGGAACGACUCAGAGGAGGGAAGGCUCUCGGUGGCUCACGGCUCACGGCUUCACAGGUGGAAUUGCAGACCUGUCUUGGAUUGCCCUGGGAGAGCCCCGCGGCCUGGACCCCGCCUCUUGCAGUCUGGGGCGACCGACCCCCGCGGGGUCACACUGCCGCCCUGUGGCCAUUUAUCGCACUGCAGGCGCGCUUCCUGGGCGCUGAGGUCCCGGGUGAAGGAAGCCUCAGGCCCCGGGCAGUCUUACUCUCAGCCCCUGUUCUGGACACAUCACUCCAGCCCCUUGCUGGGCCGCCCCGUCACCUGUUGGGUCUGGCUUGGCUCUAAGUUAGCUCGGAGAAAAAGCAGUGGGCGCUGUGCUCACCGUGCGCGUGGAGCUGGAGAAAUCGGGGGCGGGGCGGGGCAGAGCAGAAACAGAAAAGAUCCUGGGGUAGACAGGGAGAGGGACAGGCAGACAGG
Molecule: long non-coding RNA, 1017 nt
Filed under: Heterocephalus glaber (naked mole-rat)
Lineage: Eukaryota; Metazoa; Chordata; Mammalia; Rodentia; Bathyergidae
Description: lncRNA (ENSHGLG00100034440.1)
Source: RNAcentral